RNAcentral lists this ribosomal RNA (434 nucleotides) under Bacillus sp. (in: firmicutes). Its description in RNAcentral is "bacterial SSU rRNA". It matches the Rfam family "Bacterial small subunit ribosomal RNA", at positions 64 to 480 of the family's 1533-position model. Lineage: Bacteria; Bacillati; Bacillota; Bacilli; Caryophanales; Bacillaceae. The record is from RNAcentral.
GAGCGGACAGAUGGGAGCUUGCUCCCUGAUGUUAGCGGCGGACGGGUGAGUAACACGUGGGUAACCUGCCUGUAAGACUGGGAUAACUCCGGGAAACCGGGGCUAAUACCGGAUGGUUGUCUGAACCGCAUGGUUCAGACAUAAAAGGUGGCUUCGGCUACCACUUACAGAUGGACCCGCGGCGCAUUAGCUAGUUGGUGAGGUAACGGCUCACCAAGGCGACGAUGCGUAGCCGACCUGAGAGGGUGAUCGGCCACACUGGGACUGAGACACGGCCCAGACUCCUACGGGAGGCAGCAGUAGGGAAUCUUCCGCAAUGGACGAAAGUCUGACGGAGCAACGCCGCGUGAGUGAUGAAGGUUUUCGGAUCGUAAAGCUCUGUUGUUAGGGAAGAACAAGUGCCGUUCAAAUAGGGCGGCACCUUGACGGUACCU